This 77-nucleotide transfer RNA is filed under the name Candidatus Atribacteria bacterium. RNAcentral's name for it is "tRNA-Arg". It matches the Rfam family "tRNA". Rfam says of the family: Transfer RNA (tRNA) molecules are approximately 80 nucleotides in length. Their secondary structure includes four short double-helical elements and three loops (D, anti-codon, and T loops). The record is from RNAcentral. Lineage: Bacteria; Pseudomonadati; Atribacterota; Atribacteria. RNAcentral also lists the same sequence under 2 other names.
GCGCCCGUAGCUCAAUCGGAUAGAGCGACGGCCUCCGGAGCCGUAGGCUGGAGGUUCAAAUCCUCUCGGGCGCGCCA